AGCAGCCGCGGUAAUUCCAGCUCCAAUAGCGUAUAUUAAAGUUGUUGCAGUUAAAAAGCUCGUAGUUGAAUUUCGGGAUUAGUACGCUGGUCAUGCCUUUGGUAUGUACUGGUGUUACUGAUUCCUACCUUCUGACGAACCGUCAUGUCAUUAAUUUGGUGUGGCGGGGAAUCAGGACUGUUACUUUGAAAAAAUUAGAGUGUUUAAAGCAGGCUCGCGCUUGAAUACAUUAGCAUGGAAUAAUGAAAUAGGACGUUCGAUCCUAUUUUGUUGGUUUCUAGGAUUGACGUAAUGAUUAAGUAGGGAUAGUUGGGGGCAUUAGUAUUCAAUUGUCAGAGGUGAAAUUUCUUGGAUUUUAUUGAAGACUAACUACUGCGAAAGCAUUUGCCAAGGAUGUUUUCAUUAAUCAAGAACGAAAAGUUAGGGGAUCGAAGACGAGUCAGAUAACCCGUCGUAGUCUUAACCAUAAACUACUGCCGACUAGGGAUCGGAUUGGAUGUUAAUUUUAAUGACUCAACUU
RNAcentral lists this ribosomal RNA (520 nucleotides) under uncultured Glomus. RNAcentral's name for it is "SSU rRNA". It matches the Rfam family "Eukaryotic small subunit ribosomal RNA", at positions 569 to 1086 of the family's 1831-position model. Lineage: Eukaryota; Fungi; Glomeromycota; Glomeromycetes; Glomerales; Glomeraceae. The record is from RNAcentral.